Molecule: transfer RNA, 67 nt
Filed under: Marmota monax (woodchuck)
Lineage: Eukaryota; Metazoa; Chordata; Mammalia; Rodentia; Sciuridae
Description: tRNA.Ser
Source: RNAcentral
GGUUGUGGCUCAGUGGUACAGUGCUUGCCUUGAACAUAUGAGGCCCUGGGUUCAAUCCUCAACACUA